This 578-nucleotide ribosomal RNA is filed under the name Curvibasidium nothofagi. Its description in RNAcentral is "eukaryotic LSU rRNA". It matches the Rfam family "Eukaryotic large subunit ribosomal RNA", at positions 45 to 637 of the family's 3401-position model. The record is from RNAcentral. Lineage: Eukaryota; Fungi; Basidiomycota; Microbotryomycetes.
AAUAAGCGGAGGAAAAGAAACUAACAAGGAUUCCCCUAGUAACGGCGAGUGAAGCGGGAAGAGCUCAAAUUUGUAAUCUGGCACUUUCAGUGUCCGAGUUGUAAUCUCGAGAAGUGUUUUCCGCGCCGGACCGCAUACAAGUCUGUUGGAAUACAGCGUCAUAGUGGUGAGAACCCCGUAACUGAUGCGGAUGCCCGGUGCUUUGUGAUACACUUUCGAAGAGUCGAGUUGUUUGGGAAUGCAGCUCAAAUUGGGUGGUAAAUUCCAUCUAAAGCUAAAUAUUGGCGAGAGACCGAUAGCGAACAAGUACCGUGAGGGAAAGAUGAAAAGCACUUUGGAAAGAGAGUUAACAGUACGUGAAAUUGUUGGAAGGGAAACGAUUGAAGUCAGACUUGUUAUCUGGAGUUCAGCCUUUCGGUGUACUCUCCAGUUUACAGGCCAGCAUCAGUUUUCGGGGCGGGAAAAUCGUAAUUAGAAGGUAGCAGCCUAGCUGUGUUAUAGCUUUUUACUGGAUUCCGCUUUGGGGACUGAGGAACGCAGUGUGCUUUUAGCAAUACCCUCGGGUAUUUCACACUUGG